RNAcentral lists this long non-coding RNA (1356 nucleotides) under Sus scrofa (pig). RNAcentral's name for it is "lncRNA (ENSSSCG00005037370.1)". The record is from RNAcentral. Lineage: Eukaryota; Metazoa; Chordata; Mammalia; Artiodactyla; Suidae.
AAAAAUUAUUUUUAUUGUUCUUCAAAAUGUCUCCCUUUGGGCGAACUGAAAGCUGUAGUGCUUACAGGGAACUGGAGUGAAAGGGAAGGGGCUGGCUCCGCCUGUGCCCUGGGGCCUCCCCUACCCCCUCCAGCUCGGGAUGCUAAGCUGGCUUGGGACCCUGGAGACAGACCACUGGGCUCUUCUCCUUCCGGACAACAUGACUGGGGCAACCAACCAGUGAAGCCCCGUGAGAUGCCGCAAGAUUUAUGAUGCGUGCCUCUAGCCGUGUCCACGAACACACAUGUGUCCCAGGAUGCCGGGCUCGGCUGCUGAGGUGACUGUCCCCGGGCGGAUUUGCCAUCUUCUCAGGCACCUCUCUCCAGGGAGGGCCUUGCCUGGGUGCCACCCUCCUCCCAAGCACGCACUCAGGGCUGUGUGGUCCCCGCUCCCCACCAGCCCUCCAGUUCCCCACCGGAGAGGCCUGUCGUGCUGUUAGCCUGGGAAUAAGGAGGCGGGCCGAGGGGUCUCGCCAGCCCUGGUUUCUCCUCCCCCUGCCUGGCCCUCACUGGUGGCCACCUACCUUCACAGCCCACCCCCACCCCCCGCCUCCUACCGGCCCCUCAGGGGCCACCUCUCAGCUGCCUCCAUCUCACACACGCACCCAAACAACAUGCCGACUGGGCCAGCCCAAGCCUGCCCUGGCUCCCUCACAACGUGGUCACUCUGGAAUCCCCAGAGGGUGUCUGUCCCCAAGGGACUCGAUGCAGUGACAUGGCACCAUCCCAUACAGAGGACACCCAGCCUACCGGCAGGCAGGUGAACAGGAACAGUGCCUGAGCUCGGGGACAGUGCCAGGGUGUGCCCACAAGCAUGUGCUGGGCUGGGUGGGCCUUCUCUCUGCAGAGGGCAGGCCAGGCUGAGUUGGCCCCACAGGAGGAGAUCCCGGCAAGCCCCGAGCUCCAAGAGGGAACAGGGGAGCCAUGAGCCUGGGAGGGCAGAGUGGCCGCCAGCAGCUGGGUUCGUGAGGCUCAAACUCAACCCUCAGCUCCUUCUCUCCAUUUCUCAGGUCCCACCUCUAGGGCCAGGAGCGAGCGGAGCCCCCAAAGAGAGGCCGGGUCUGCCCUGCCCACUGAGCCUGCAGGGCCCAGGCAAUGGGGGUCAGGCUGGCCAGGGCUGGCGGAGCAUGGAGGGGCCCGGCCAGGGGUGAAGGAAAUACAGUUCUUUGGUACUGAAGCAAUGAAAAGCUAUCUCAGAGAAGCCUGGGCUCCCAAGCAGGGGAGCCGAGCUCUCUUUCCUGGAAGCUCUGAAGGUCCCAGGAUCCUGGGCAGGGCUCCUUCGCCGGUGAGGCCCACAAGGGACCUGCUCAGGGCAGCC